This 542-nucleotide ribosomal RNA is filed under the name Clostridioides difficile. RNAcentral describes it as "partial 23S ribosomal RNA". It matches the Rfam family "Bacterial large subunit ribosomal RNA", at positions 1 to 547 of the family's 2925-position model. The record is from RNAcentral. Lineage: Bacteria; Bacillati; Bacillota; Clostridia; Peptostreptococcales; Peptostreptococcaceae.
GGUCAAGUUAUUAAGGGUGCAGGGCGGAUGCCUUGGCACUAGGAGCCGAUGAAGGACGUGAUAAGCUGCGAUAAGCUUCGGGGAGUUGCACGUAAACUUUGAUCCGAAGAUUUCCGAAUGAGGAAACUCACUUAGAGUAAUGUCUAAGUAUCAUUAAGUGAAUACAUAGCUUAAUGAGGGGAACUCAGGGAACUGAAACAUCUAAGUACCUGAAGGAAGAGAAAGAAAUUCGAUUCCGUAAGUAGCGGCGAGCGAACGCGGAUUAGCCCAAACCAAUAAAGUUUUCUUUAUUGGGGUUGCGGACAUAUCAUAACGAAGAGGUAUCGUAAUUGAAGAGGUUUGGAAAGACCCACCAUAGAAGGUAAUAGUCCUGUAUGUUAAACGAGAAGACUUUAGAUAUGAUCCAGAGUACCACGGGACACGUGAAACCCUGUGGGAAGCAGGAGGGACCACCCUCCAAGGCUAAAUACUACCUAGUGACCGAUAGCGUAUAGUACCGUGAGGGAAAGGUGAAAAGAACCCCGGGAGGGGAGUGAAAUAGA